RNAcentral lists this ribosomal RNA (253 nucleotides) under uncultured bacterium. RNAcentral describes it as "partial 16S ribosomal RNA". It matches the Rfam family "Bacterial small subunit ribosomal RNA", at positions 524 to 776 of the family's 1533-position model. The record is from RNAcentral.
UACGAAGGGGGCUAGCGUUGCUCGGAAUCACUGGGCGUAAAGCGCACGUAGGCGGAUUCCUAAGUCAGGGGUGAAAUCCCAGGGCUCAACCCUGGAACUGCCUUUGAUACUGACGAUCUGGAGAUCGGGAGAGGUUGGUGGAAUUCCGAGUGUAGAGGUGAAAUUCGUAGAUAUUCGGAGGAACACCAGAAGCGAAGGCGGCCAACUGGCCCGAUACUGACGCUGAGGCGCGAAAGCGUGGGGAGCAAACAGG